Molecule: long non-coding RNA, 3946 nt
Organism: Pollicipes pollicipes
Lineage: Eukaryota; Metazoa; Arthropoda; Thecostraca; Pollicipedomorpha; Pollicipedidae
Exons: 2
Source: RefSeq, a predicted model, not a curated record
CAGAUGCAAGGCCCUACAGGGCCGCGCAAGAUUUCAAAUAGUUCAGGACACUGCUUCCAAGUUGAUCUCAGUUAACCGUGAAAAUUCAACAACGCUGCCCCAAUUAAAGCAAGUGCGAGACAUGCUUGUAUUCCUGUGGAUCUGGCAAGCACUACUGCAUACCAGCGCAAAUUUCACUUUCCAAGCUUGCGUCGCCGUCGACCGAGGGCCGGGGAGUAUCGAUUCCAGCGGAGAAACGCCAACCCUCUACAUUGGCACGACUCGUGCAAGUAUGCUAUAUGAGCAAGUUGGGCCAUAAUAUGCUGUCAAACAUAGUAGCUUUAAUCAGAAUAGCUUUAAGCAGGUGACAGAGCUGUACUACAUAUUAUACUUUAUCGGCGCUGACGUCACAGAUCACCGGUAACACAGUGCUUUUCCAAUGCCCCUCAGAUCAAUGCUUUUCUCAGAUGUUUCGGCCAAGACCCACUUCACAUACUAAACAGCAUAAUAUACCGAAUCACAAGGCGUAUUACUAGUCGUAAGCGUCGUGGCUGGCCACAGCAUCUUGCGAUGGAUAUGAUCAGUUUGCUACGCGGCGUUUUAAAACGUCGUGCGACUUCAGACAGAUGGGUGCAAAUGCUCGCCGCGCGGUAAUGCAGUGGGUUCAGUGCAAAGCUAUGAGCUGAUGUUGGUUGUGUUCAUGUCGUGAGGAGUUGACUGGCUAGAAGAACGGACUUUUUUACUUUCGUAUCUGUACCACCAACGGAGGGAAGAGCUACGCUUGCUGCAGGGUUCGUGUACCGUCGUGCUGGGGAAAUGCUGCGAGGCAUCAGCCGACUUUGUGACGUCACUGACAUCCGUUUUGUAUCAACCGCGCGCCACUGCUCUGACGGAUCAUCGCAGUAUGCAACGUCACGGGUUGAGUUUUUACGGGCUCUUUUGGACCGACUGAUGGCCAUGAGGCAUCAGUCAGCAAUAUGACGUCACUGGUUUUCGACUUAGUGGGUGACGUCAUUGGUCAAAGCUAUGUAUGGGUUUGUUUAGACCGACUUAGGUCAUAAGACAUUAGCUAACGAUAUGACGUCACUGAUAUUCGACUUACCUCAAGCGCAAUACGCCAUGUUCGAUCUUCACCGGUCGUACCUGUCUACUGCAAGUAUUCGCGUGCUGAAUAAUGGCUGUGCCAAAUCAACUGAAUGCGUGACGUCAGUGGCCAUGUAUUUUUAGGCCUCUCUCGGGCCGUCCACAGGCCAUAGAGCAUCAGCUGACGACAUGACGCCACUGGUAUUCGAGAGGGUUUCGGGGCGCAUCGACUGCUGUAGGUCAUGCAGCAAGCUGGCAUUCGAUUCAACCUCAAGCGCAACAGGCCAUGUAUCUUUACUUUUCGUGCCUGUCUUCUGCCAGCAUUCGCGUGCUGAAUGAAGGGUCUGCCGAAUCAACUGAGUGUGUUACGUCAUCGAUCAUGAGUUAAUACGGGUUCACUUUGACCACCCAAGGCCGCGAAGCAUCAUAUCCCGUGAAACAUUACCGGAUGAUACGACGCCACUGGUAUUCGACGAAACAUCAGGCUCAACAGGCAAUGCUCCAUCUUUACCUUUCGUACCUGUCUACUGCAAGUAUUGGUGUGCUGAUUGGAGGCUUUGCCGAAUCACCUAAGCAUGUGACGUCACUGGCCAUGAGUUUAAAGGCUCUUUUGGGCCUAUUUAAGGCUCUAAGGCAUCAGCCUGACGAUAUGACGUCACUGGUAUUAGACUCAACCUCAGGGACAAUUUGUCAUGUUCCAUCUUCACCUUUCACACUGGUCUACUGUAAUCGAACGACGGCUCACGCUCAGGUGAUUCGGCAGAGCUUUCUUUCAGCACACCAGUGCUUGGUGUGCGGGUAUGAAAGGUUAAGGUGGAACAUGGGCUGUUGCGCCUGAUGUUUAGUUGAAUACCAGUGACGUCAUAUCCAGUGAUACUUUCUGGCCUUGGCGAACCUAAGUAAAUUCGUAGGAAUCAUGAUCAGUGACGUCACACACCCAGCUGAUUCGGCAGAGCCUUCAUUCAGCACGCCAACACUCACAACACACGGGUACGAAAGGUAAAGAUGGAACAUGGCCUGCUGUGCUUGAUGUCUAGUUGAAUGCCAGUGACGCCAUAUCGUCCGGUGAUGGUUCACGGGUAUGAUGCAUGAUGGCCUUGGGGCCCAAGGGAACUCGUACAAAGCCGUUAUCAGUGACGUCACAUUAUCAGGUGAUUCGGCAGAAUCGUUGCUCAGCACGCAAAUGCUUGCAGUAAGACAGGUGCAAAGGUAAAGAUGGAUCAUGGCCUGUCGCGUCUGAUGUUUUGUCAAACACCAGUGGCGUUGUAUUGUCAGUUAAUGCUUUACAGCAUUCAUUCGGCCCAAAAGAGACCUGAAAACUCACAACCAGGGACGUCACACGCUCAGUCGAAUGCCAGUGAUGUAACACCGUCUGGUAAUGCCUUACAGCCUUCAGUCGGCCCAAGAGCCCAGUGACGUCACAUUAUCGGCUGGUGUUUCACAUCCUUAAUGCGGCGCUACAGUACUCACACCCUGCAACCAGCGUCCUCUUCCCUCCAUCGGCGAGACAGGUACGAAAGUAACAUUUUACCCAAGAACAUGGCUAAUCGUCACUUUUUUAAGUUACGGCGUCAAAAGAUUGUAGGUCCGCUGGUCAAGAAGGUUUGUAGUUUGUGAAUACCUGAGCUGAAGCUGCAGAGUUAAACGGAGGACGUUGGAGCGAUUCAUGCCAAGGAUCCAUUCGUGGUUUCCUACUGCUGAGAAUAGCGUCUUUGGGUGAGAGCCCUGGCAUCGCUGGUGUAGGCCUCUCAUGUUGGCCGUUGUAUGGCAGAGUUAGCGUACUGAUCGGUGGACACGCAUGGGAUAAAGCACUUGUAAUUAUCAUCAUUUUGCAGAUAAAGCUGAAUAAAGGUGUUAGAGGUCUUCAAAGACAUUUUUUUUCACUAUUGAUAACAAUAUCCCACGGGUUUUGCUGCAAAAAGUCGUGAUAAUGUCGGGGAGAGCGCGUUCUGCACUGGCAACGAUAAAGCAAAGAUAGUGGAGUUCGCCAACGCUUCCAGUUGAUUGUACGAUGACGUCACAAAACCAAAAUUCAUUAUCUCCGGGUUUUUGCAGAACCACGUGAUUGGUCAAUGAAGGGCAGCAGGGAUGCAGUUUUUCCAAACACGCAAGGAUGAGAGAGGGAAGGGGAGCAGGGUGCAGAAUAAAAAAUGACUGAAAAAAAUCCGAAAUCCACUUAAAUUAGUUUUCUCCACUGAUUUGACGCACUUUCUUUUCACAGUCGCCAGCAGUGGUGCAGUUUCUCAGAAUUAGUUUUGGGAGGCUCAACACAAGAAUUAUGAGUAAAGAAACAUAAUGGAUGGAAAUGCCAACUAAACAUACGAAACUUCGUCACUGGUUAGAAGCCACGCAUGAAGGCAGAUCACCAGUCAACGCCACAGAGACUCCACCGUCACUCCGCGCGCACCGGCAUGGCCCUGCCCCACCCAGCUGGCUAGCGGCGCGCCCACGCGUCCCGCAGCAUCUUCCAAACUGUACGGCUGAGGAGACCGCAGAGACGUCAGAGAACCUCGGCCGGCGUUGGGGAGACCACGAAGACGUCCGGGGCCAUUGGCUAGAGCGAGCCUCGAGCCGCCGGCUAGCCGUACAGUUCACAGCGGAGCUCCUGUAUGCACUCGUUGAUGGCGCCGAUGAUGUCAGCGUGGUGCUUCCGCCGCUGGCGGAGAGCGUGCUCUCUGACGGCGUCCUGGGGGUUCUGGUGCACUUGGAACGCCAGCAGCUGCAUCUCGCACGUCUGAACACGAACAAGUACAACGGCUGUGUCACAAAGGGGGCCAGCUCUGCGGGUUGAUGUGCCACUUUGUCACUCCACUGUGCUGAAGCAAAAUGAGAAUGUUAAAGCGGUUCUGUAAUGCCGUGCAUGUGAAGUAAAUGCCGCCCCUAA